GCAUCACUGGUGUUCGGGUUGUCAUGCCAAUGGCACUGCCCGGUAGCUAAAUGCGGAAGAGAUAAGUGCUGAAAGCAUCUAAGCACGAAACUUGCCCCGAGAUGAGUUCUCCCUGAGACUAUAAGUCUCCUGAAGGAACGUUAAAGACGAUGACGUUGAUAGGCCGGGUGUGUAAGCGCAGCGAUGCGUUGAGCUAACCGGUACUAAUGAACCGUGAGGCUUAACCUUACAACGCCGAAG
This 240-nucleotide ribosomal RNA is filed under the name Klebsiella pneumoniae. Its description in RNAcentral is "partial 23S ribosomal RNA". It matches the Rfam family "Bacterial large subunit ribosomal RNA", at positions 2703 to 2925 of the family's 2925-position model. Lineage: Bacteria; Pseudomonadati; Pseudomonadota; Gammaproteobacteria; Enterobacterales; Enterobacteriaceae. The record is from RNAcentral.